Molecule: ribosomal RNA, 467 nt
Filed under: uncultured bacterium
Lineage: Bacteria
Description: partial 16S ribosomal RNA
Rfam family: Bacterial small subunit ribosomal RNA
Source: RNAcentral
ACGAACGCUGGCGGCGUGCUUAACACAUGCAAGUCGAACGGAAAGGCCCUGCUUUUGUGGGGUGCUCGAGUGGCGAACGGGUGAGUAACACGUGAGUAACCUGCCCUUGACUUUGGGAUAACUUCAGGAAACUGGGGCUAAUACCGGAUAGGAGCUCCUGCUGCAUGGUGGGGGUUGGAAAGUUUCGGCGGUUGGGGAUGGACUCGCGGCUUAUCAGCUUGUUGGUGGGGUAGUGGCUUACCAAGGCUUUGACGGGUAGCCGGCCUGAGAGGGUGACCGGCCACAUUGGGACUGGGAUACGGCCCGGACUCCUACGGGAGGCAGCAGUGGGGAAUAGUGCACAAUGGGCGGAAGCCUGAUGCAGCAACGCCGCGUGCGGGAUGACGGCCUUCGGGUUGUAAUCCGCUUUCGCCUGUGACGAAGCGUGAGUGACGGUAAUGGGUAAAGAAGCACCGGCUAACUACGUG